This 231-nucleotide ribosomal RNA is filed under the name uncultured bacterium. RNAcentral's name for it is "partial 16S ribosomal RNA". It matches the Rfam family "Bacterial small subunit ribosomal RNA", at positions 103 to 334 of the family's 1533-position model. The record is from RNAcentral.
CGGGUGAGUAACGCGUGGGUAACCUGCCUCAUACAGGGGGAUAACAGUUAGAAAUGACUGCUAAUACCGCAUAAGCACACAGUACCGCAUGGUACAGUGUGAAAAACUCCGGUGGUAUGAGAUGGACCUGCGUCUGAUUAGCUAGUUGGCGGGGUAACGGCCCACCAAGGCGACGAUCAGUAGCCGACCUGAGAGGGUGACCGGCCACAUUGGGACUGAGACACGGCCCAA